CAGUUCAGCGGGCGAUUCGAUUCAUCCUCGCUUUUGGUGCACCAUGUGCGUUGCUCUAUCUCUUCAGCAUAUCCACCAAGGUGUUCGCUUUUGAAGGUCUGGACGGUCAGCAAACUCUGUUGCAACGAAGGUAGCCUGCGGUGGGCUAAUCUUCAAACAAAGUGCUGAAGACGGUCUGGAAGACACCCGUGAGUGCAGCCAUAUAAUUUUUUAUGCCGUUGUAAAAUGCCAGUACCAACUCCCGCUGAGAGCGUAGAGGCCUUCGCAGCUCCUGUGAUUGAAGGGCCCGAUAACUACGCUGUGCGAAGUGCCCUCAUGGCUCACUUUCUGGACUUCGUACACAUCUACAAAGAGCUCCAGGAAAAAUAUUACCUCAUGAACAUUAACGCAGUGAACAUGAUGAAUAUGUUGAGCGCACUAGUAGUGCGACUGGAACGUUUGGACGAUUUGAUGAGUGCUAUGAACUUGCGAAUGUAGUUGCAAGAAAUUAUGUGACAAAACUUGUUCGACGGUAGCCACCUUGCGCCUGGCAAUUCCUGUCUCUUUGCUGUCAAAUUUUGUCAAUGUUGUCAUGUACAGUUUUGUUAUAAGCUGCGUAUUAUCUACGAAAUAUCCUCGCCAACAUUCCGCAGUUUUGCAGCAGUGCCAGUUUAUAGUUAGCACGUCUCAACUCGGUAUUUUAGGGCUCAUUUCCUUCGUGGCAGGCAUUGGGGGUAUUCUCUACUGUUUACUAGCGCCACCGCUCCUCACUUAGUACGGCGGUGUUGUGCAAGCCUUCUUCUAUAAGCAGUCCCAGUACAUGCGAAGGACGAAAGAUCACCGGACUUCGUUAUUGAGUGUAUGUUUUAAUUUGUAAG
Long non-coding RNA from Ornithodoros turicata, 857 nucleotides. RefSeq lists it as uncharacterized. The transcript has 2 exons. Lineage: Eukaryota; Metazoa; Arthropoda; Arachnida; Ixodida; Argasidae. The record is from RefSeq and is a predicted model, not a curated record.